This is a microRNA precursor of Cajanus cajan (pigeon pea), 123 nucleotides long. The record is from Rfam. Lineage: Eukaryota; Viridiplantae; Streptophyta; Magnoliopsida; Fabales; Fabaceae.
AAAGUGUAAUGAAGCCAAGGAUGGCUUGCCGAUAUUAAUUUGCUAUGAAUCUAGAAUGCUAACUAGCUAGUUUCAUUUGUUGAGUUUUUCGGCAAUUUAUCUUAUGGCUACAUUCAACUUUCU